Molecule: ribosomal RNA, 836 nt
Filed under: Septoria steviae
Lineage: Eukaryota; Fungi; Ascomycota; Dothideomycetes; Mycosphaerellales; Mycosphaerellaceae
Description: eukaryotic LSU rRNA
Rfam family: Eukaryotic large subunit ribosomal RNA
Source: RNAcentral
GGGAUUGCCCUAGUAACGGCGAGUGAAGCGGCAACAGCUCAAAUUUGAAAUCUGGCGUCUUCGGCGUCCGAGUUGUAAUUUGCAGAGGGCGCUUUGGCAUUGGCAGCGGUCCAAGUUCCUUGGAACAGGACGUCACAGAGGGUGAGAAUCCCGUACGUGGUCGCUAGCCUUUACCGUGUAAAGCCCCUUCGACGAGUCGAGUUGUUUGGGAAUGCAGCUCUAAAUGGGAGGUAAAUUUCUUCUAAAGCUAAAUACUGGCCAGAGACCGAUAGCGCACAAGUAGAGUGAUCGAAAGAUGAAAAGCACUUUGGAAAGAGAGUUAAAAAGCACGUGAAAUUGUUGAAAGGGAAGCGCUUGCAGCCAGACUUGCCUGUAGUUGCUCAUCCGGGUUUCUACCCGGUGCACUCUUCUAUAGGCAGGCCAGCAUCAGUUUGGGCGGUUGGAUAAAGGUCUCUGUCAUGUACCUCCUCUCGGGGAGAACUUAUAGGGGAGACGACAUGCAACCAGCCCGGACUGAGGUCCGCGCAUCUGCUAGGAUGCUGGCGUAAUGGCUGUAAGCGGCCCGUCUUGAAACACGGACCAAGGAGUCUAACAUCUAUGCGAGUGUUUGGGUGUCAAGCCCGAACGCGUAAUGAAAGUGAACGGAGGUGGGAACCUUUCGGGGUGCACCAUCGACCGAUCCUGAUGUCUUCGGAUGGAUUUGAGUAAGAGCAUAGCUGUUGGGACCCGAAAGAUGGUGAACUAUGCUUGAAUAGGGUGAAGCCAGAGGAAACUCUGGUGGAGGCUCGCAGCGGUUCUGACGUGCAAAUCGAUCGUCAAAUUUGGGCAUAGGGGCG